AGGCAAGGGGUGAAAGGUCACAAAAAUGGCGCUGGCCGUCAGUCUCUUACCCCGCUUGCUGCUUUCUCGGCCUCUGCCGGGCUCGGCUGCCCGACUCUGGACUCCCGGUUCGGCCGACGUGUGGCCGCCGUUGGCUGGACUUUGCUGCUUCUGCCGCCGCCGCCUCGGCUCGGGAGCGGCCCCAUUUCCUCGAGUCUCUUGGGCCUCCGUGGCCUUGGCGCUGCCAGCUCGAGCUCCUCAGCGUCCCCUGCUCAGCCCUCUGGGACUCCCCACAACCCUUCCCGCUUUCCCUUCCUGCCCUCGGCGAACCUACAGCACCGAGGAGCAGCCCCAGCAGCGCCAGAAAACCAAGAUGAUCAUCCUGGGGUUCUCCAACCCCAUCAACUGGAUUCGGACUCGAAUUUACUCCUUCCUUAUUUGGGCCUAUUUCGACCAAGAGUUCAGCAUUGCAGAAUUCUCAGAGGGAGCGAAGCAGGCUUUUGCUCAUGUGUCCAAGUUGCUGUCACAGAGUAAGUUUGAUCUAUUGGAAGAACUUGUGGCCAAAGAGACACUACGUGUAUUGAAAGAAAAGGUUACUUCACUACCUGACAACCAUAAAAAUGCCCUUGCUGCUGACAUAGAUGAAAUUGUAUAUACAUCAACAGGAGACAUCUCCAUUUACUACGAUGAGAAAGUGCCAACAUCCCCAGUGAAACUAUAAGUGGAGCCAGUGUGUUCCAGGUUAAGUUGGGGGAUCAGAACGUGGAAACUAAACAACUUCUUAGUGCGAGCUAUGAAUUUCAGAGGGAGUUUACACAAGGAGUAAAGCCUGACUGGACCAUUGCACGGAUUGAACACCCAAAGUUAUUAGAAUAAUCAAUCUUGGAAAAAUCAGCUUAUUGGACUUUUAGCAAUUACUGAGAAGAACUAAGGAAGAAAAAAUUUUCAGAUCAUUUGAUCUUCACUUAAUCAAGUCUGUGGAUUACUUUUGUAUUAUUUUGAAAUACUCCUUGUAGUAAAUUGGCAUGAUACAAUAAAGCAUUUUCCACAGAUUGUCAUCACUUUCUGUAGAAGGAAGUCAAAGUAAAAAAAUUACAGCAGCCCAUCAUUGGCAUCAUAUUCAGUAUCAUUUCUAAUGUUAUAUGUAUAUGUAUAUAUACACAAACUCAUUUUAUAGACAAUAAAGAAGAUAUUGAAAAAAUUACACAUUUUUAAAUUAAUAGUCCUUAAAUAUUUUAUUUGUGGUUAAUACACUUAUACCAAUAAUUCAAGUAUGUGUAAGAUUUCUUUUUCAAAAUGACUGCUGCUAUUUGAUUACCUCUUUGGUCACUAGCUGGAUGAGAAAGAACAGAUGGAAUUAUAGCAGAUGGGUCACUACAGUACUAAAAAUCAGUGAGGCUUACUAAAGCACAAAGAGAAAAAAGAAAUAGAACAGUAACUUACUCCCCUAUGAAGUAAUAUGAAGUCUUCUAACAUACUUGUAUUUGGACUCCUAGAAGUUGGGAUAGGGGAGACAAAAACAAUGUAAGAAAUAAUGUCUGAAAGUUUUCCUAAUUGAUGAAAACUAUAAAC
Non-coding RNA from Delphinapterus leucas (beluga whale), 1551 nucleotides. NCBI's taxonomy places the organism in Eukaryota, Metazoa, Chordata, Mammalia, Artiodactyla, Monodontidae. The record is from RefSeq and is a predicted model, not a curated record.